UACGUAGGGGGCUAGCGUUGUCCGGAUUUAUUGGGCGUAAAGAGCGUGUAGGCGGCCAGGUAGGUCUGGUGUGAAAACUCGAGGCUUAACCUCGAGAUGUCAUCGGAAACCAUCUGGCUAGAGUCCGGAAGAGGAGAGUGGAAUUCCUGGUGUAGCGGUGAAAUGCGCAGAUAUCAGGAAGAACACCAAUGGCGAAAGCAGCUCUCUGGGACGGUACUGACGCUGAGACGCGAAGGCGUGGGGAGCGAACAGG
RNAcentral lists this ribosomal RNA (253 nucleotides) under uncultured bacterium. RNAcentral's name for it is "partial 16S ribosomal RNA". It matches the Rfam family "Bacterial small subunit ribosomal RNA", at positions 524 to 776 of the family's 1533-position model. The record is from RNAcentral.